GUCGAGCGGACCCUUCGGGGUUAGCGGCGGACGGGUGAGUAACGCGUGGGAAUAUGCCCUUCUCUACGGAAUAGUCCUGGGAAACUGGGGGUAAUACCGUAUACGCCCUUUGGGGGAAAGAUUUAUCGGGGAAGGAUUAGCCCGCGUUGGAUUAGGUAGUUGGUGGGGUAAUGGCCUACCAAGCCGACGAUCCAUAGCUGGUUUGAGAGGAUGAUCAGCCACACUGGGACUGAGACACGGCCCAGACUCC
RNAcentral lists this ribosomal RNA (250 nucleotides) under uncultured Paracoccus sp. RNAcentral describes it as "partial 16S ribosomal RNA". It matches the Rfam family "Bacterial small subunit ribosomal RNA", at positions 61 to 339 of the family's 1533-position model. Lineage: Bacteria; Pseudomonadati; Pseudomonadota; Alphaproteobacteria; Rhodobacterales; Paracoccaceae. The record is from RNAcentral.